UAUGACCAAUAAACCGAAAUGGCAUUGGUAAUUUUUCAUACACCUCACUUACAGGAGCCCAAGUAUUAUAUACAAACCCAAAAUAAAGAGCCUUAAAUACUACAAGAAAAGCCCCUAUACGGCUAUGCCGAACAAGACUAUAUGACCAAUAUUGUGAUCAUUUUAUUUCUCAAUUUCCA
Molecule: antisense RNA, 179 nt
Filed under: Spinacia oleracea (spinach)
Lineage: Eukaryota; Viridiplantae; Streptophyta; Magnoliopsida; Caryophyllales; Amaranthaceae
Description: Antisense RNA which regulates isiA expression
Rfam family: Antisense RNA which regulates isiA expression (bases 20-179)
Source: Rfam by way of RNAcentral